Harpia harpyja (harpy eagle) is the source of this 3398-nucleotide long non-coding RNA. RefSeq lists it as uncharacterized. The transcript is spliced from 2 exons. The record is from RefSeq and is a predicted model, not a curated record. Lineage: Eukaryota; Metazoa; Chordata; Aves; Accipitriformes; Accipitridae.
CAUAUCUGUAAAAUAAAAUAGUUACAAGAGAUUUUAAUCACAACUCAAAGUUCAGUGUUUUCAUUUUUUAUUGUGGUAAUUGUUUUAUAAACUGCAUAAUUUUUUAGCUCUUUAGUUGACAGGGUAUAUGAACUUUUCUCACCUGUGUGUUUCUUUUACUAGGAGUAAUAAAUACUAUGUAUCAGGAGGAAUCAUCAUUCCAUAGUGGCUGGAGACAACAUGAAUUUAUACACAGCAUGCUUUGCUAUGGAGACCCUCAAAAAUUACAUUUUUUUUUUUUUUCAGCCUUGGAAAUAAAUACAUUCCUAGAAAAUACUUUCAAAGUUUUCUAGCUUGUAAACCUCUUAACAACUUAAAAGACAAAGUAUGUAUUUUUGAUUCAUCUAGAAGAAAGAAUACCAUGAGCGUUACUUCCCAGUGAAAGUAGUUCUGUGAGGUGUACCUUUGUAUUUUCAAGAGGGGCAUUUGAACUGCAAACACCAAACCUUGGAAGAAUAUUCCACAGGCUUACAGAUGACACAAGGGGAUCAGCAGGAAGAAGGGAAAGAGAUGAUGUUGAAGAAUGAAUGCCCUCUGUGGCUCUAAUCCUAUAAAAAUCUCACAGCCCCUGCUCAAGAUGAAGCAACCUGGACAGAGAAAGAUGAUGCACUACCUUGUUCCCAAAGCACCUGUCAGUAUGGUGUUUAUCUUGCUCAUUUUUUCUUAAAAUUUGGUCUUAAAGAAGGUAUGCAGUCACCUUCCAGGAACAGCAACUUACUCUUUAACUGAGUUCAUGGAACAGCCGCAGCACAGAAGGAGCCUUUGCUGCUUUCUGUGUGGAGUGAAAAAGUAAUUUUCUCAGUUUAAAAGAGAAAGCAUAGUGCCGAGGUUCAAUGUUUCAAUCCCCACGACUUGUCCCCAGCACUAAAGACAAUGACAGAAGAGGCAGAGGCAGUUAAGGACAGGCACAGCAAGAUGUAGCAUCAGUUUACUACUAGACUGGGACUGUGCACUGCUAGAAGCGCCCUAGACUUGCCUCUGUCAGGCCCCUUGCAGCACUGUGCUAAGCUGCCAUCAGUUGGAUUGUGCCUGGGCCCUCAGGAAGACAGAAGGAUGAGUCAUUCUCAGGACCUCAAGUUCUGUGGAGCUGAAAAAGGCUCAAAGCUCUCUUGUGCAAGUAUCUUCAAAAAUACAUGUCUUUUUUGGCAUGUGCAGUUAGGGAAGAGAAUGAGGAACAUCUGCUGAUACAGAGAAAUACACAGAGGUAACGUCUUGUCUCUACGUGCAUAUUAGCCAGUGAGCUAUUUUAAGUUCCAGACAAAUACAUAGAGCUACAAACCAACAACAGAAGGGUAUUUGUGAUCUUGGUUAGAAGCAAAGCUACAGCAUUCAGGGCUCUCCAGAGGGCCUGUGCUGGCUGCAGGCUGGGUGUCAAGUCUUUGUUUGGCCUCAAAGGCAAACAGGAGUAGAAGGGAAUAGGAAUAUCCCGUAUUACAAAUCUAAGCUGAUCUGAGUGAAGGCCCAGAGAAGGAAGAUUCUUGGGCCAUUCACUACAGCACAAAUCUUGUUUCAGGCAAAUCAAAUCACACCUAUUGCAACUUGACUUUCUCUCAGUGAAAGUAAUCAAAUUUGUUUUAACUAUUGUUUUGACAAUUUAGUUUCAAAUUCGUCACAGUAAUCUUAGUGGUAAAGUUAGAAUGAAAAUGAUGUUUUAUCUAGUCUGCGUGCAGGAGAGAAUGUGAGAAAGGAGGAGAUGGAACAAGCCUUCUCUGUGAAACAAAGACAUGCCACUGUGUGUAGUAAUUCCCAAGUCUUUUAAAGUUAUGACAGAAGUUGACUGUCACUUGUUCGUUCAAACUGGCUAGUCCAAUUAGCAGCUAUUUCCCCUUGCCCUUUUUGGUUUGGCCUACAUAGAUUUGAUCUGAUGGAUGGGGGAUAAAUGGGGCUAACUAGCUCUUUUGAAGAUACACUACAGGUCUAUUUUUGACAUGGAGCCUAAGUCCAGGGAAUGCACAGGAUAUCCUACCUAGGACAGGAUGAAGCAUCAGUUCAGUCAAAGUGGGAUUCCCUAGGCUUUUCCUGAGUUUGCAGGUACUUUGAUUUCAGUGGCCUUUUUACGGAAUGAACUUGUCUCUCAGAGUGGUAGUUGAUAUGGUGGCAGGGCAGAAGAGGGGCAAAUAUAAUCAAAUAUCAUUAUUUCUGUAAGGGUUAAAAACUGAUGCACGAACAUUGACUGAGAAUCUUGGGUCUAAACUUCACAGAUAAGUUACAGAGAAUUAACAUUUAUGUUUUGCCAAGAAUAGGUUGCCUAAGCAAACUUGGUACAAGCUUGCUCUCUUGUGUUGAAAUCCAUUACUUCCUAAUUAGAUUUGUUUUGCAUCUAUUACUAAAAAUGUAACUUAGCAUUCAAAGGCACUGUUACAUCUGCUUCUCCAAAAUCCACUUUAAGAUAAAGCUACAUAAGCUUCCAUUCUCAAGGCAGUAAAAUACUAUCUUUUUAAACAGACAAUAUUCUGGAGUCCUAAAGUACUUCUUCAAUAUGUAAUAUCUGUGUGUAAGUUUCAUUAAUUUUACAGAGUUUACUGCUUGCUAUAUUUAGGGUUCAGUCCUGUCAGUCACUUCAUUAAAGUCUCUCAAACAUCUUCCUUUUUGGGGUACAAGCUGGACACAAAUUUAUUGCUGUGGAGAGAUACUGUCAAUAAUUAUGGCUGUCCACAUACACAGGUUCUUAAUAUAUACAUUAUUUGCUAACAGCCCCCUUAAAGUAGUAAGCAGCAGUUUUUCUAUACUAGUACAUCAGUUGGAAAAUAUUUUUUUUCAGUCAGGUUAUUAAUACCAUAUUUUUAUUAAGAGGGCUGCCAGCAUAUUAGCAUCAUUUGUAUUUUAGCAGUUAAUAAUCCAAGCUAAAACUUGGGUCAUAAAAAUAGCCCUAUUUAGAAUCAGCAUUUUUUCCUCUGGUGUACACAGUAAGGCAAACAAUAGAGAGAAGGAACAGAGAGAACUCCAUAAAAACUAGGGAAGAACUCAAAGCAAAUGCUAUCCAGAAAAAACAGAGGUCAGACAAAACUUGGUGGUGGGGCCGAGUGGGACAUGUUAUUUGAGGUUUAGUAAGCAGAUAGUGAUUAUGGUCAAGAGCAGCAAGGUUUUUUGAAAAGUCUUAAGUUGUGUUCAUAAAAACUGUAAAUUGAUUAUAUAAAACUUUGUUAAAUUGGAAAGAUCUAAUCUUUCCUGCGCAUGUAAUACAGCUGUGCUAAAUUAUGUUUUUGUGCAUGUGUUGCAAUAUAUGGAGAACAGUUUUCAAAACAUUUUUUAAUUGUUCUGAAUGGCACCAUUUUAAAUCUAGCUUUCUAAAAGCUGGUGCAUAAGUCUGCAAUACAUACUCCCUUGUUUCUUAGAUUAAACUUUUUAUGGAAAAGAAA